GAGGCCCUGAAGGGGGCAAAAGUCAUUGUGAGUCUCAAGUGUGGAUCGAGCAAUCCAUAAAGAAAGCCAGGCUGGAGUUACAUCUAAGCCUCCCAUUGUCUUUGUCUCCACGAUCAGCUAGACGUUUGACUCUGGAGAUUCAUUUCACACUUAAGGCUUUGGAAAUCUCAUCUACAAAAUGCACAAUGAAAUAGCGCCACAGAGGAUUCUACAGAGACUAUGCACAGUCACCUAUGCCUGGCUCAUUGCUGUCGUCUAAUUAGCAUUAGUUCAUUUCCCAAAUUCUCAGUUGCAGAGAAGGGUAAUAGAAAGUAGGUAUAACAUUGAUUUAGUAACAGCUACUUGAGGAUAAAGACAUACUAUGAUGUGAAAGGCUAAUAUUGCUUGUUAUAGUAGCAUGCUUGUUUAUUCCUUGGGAAAUGUUACUAAGUUAACAGUGAAGUAGGACCAGUCUACAGCGGAGGGAAUGUAUUUAUCCUUUCUUCUCUCUGUUCGCAGCUGCCUGCCACUCAAAGUUCUAAUUCUCAGAAUCUUGGAAUAAGAAGAUGGAUGGAUGUGGGAAGAGAGCCAUGUCACAGCAACCAGGAGGGCCUGUUUCAGAUGCGUCAGAAAAUCAGCAACAUGCAGUCCACCAGGUGCACAGACGGUGGCUUUGGAUCUCUGUCUGCACGUUUGGAUAUGGAAAAAAGUUUCCCAACUCAUCUCCCGCUGGUUCUACAUCUCACCUUCAUUUCUGCUCAGAGCUUCUCUUCCUUAAGGCUCACAAGAGCGGCACACAUCCCGGCGCUCUCUCUCCUCGCUCUGAGUCCGUGUCUGAGGAGGACAGAGCUGCGUGGGCCUGAGGCCACUGGUCCUCCAGGUGCUGUGCAGACAUCACCACCAACCAGAGAGCUGUGGCCGGAAGAGCUGCGAACCCCAUCUCUCAGCACACACAGACCCUUAUUUCUUGACAACUUACUAUUAGCUCAGCAAAACGAUGAGCACUUUCAUUCAUGUCUAAGGGAAGUGCAGUAUUACCUAGAAGAGGCAUCUGUUGCCAUUUUAGAUUUAAAUUUUUAUUUUUUAAAUUGCCGCGGAAUGCAUGUCUGCAGGGUGCACCAUUCCCACUCCUGGAGCACACAGCACACCUUAACCCCGUUCCCACCCCUUUCCUUCUCCCCGCACUCCCGCUCCAGCCCUCAAUCCCCUUCCCAUCUGGGGAAGAUCUACAUGCCUACCUCCUAUCAUCC
This 1229-nucleotide long non-coding RNA is filed under the name Fukomys damarensis (Damara mole-rat). RNAcentral's name for it is "lncRNA (ENSFDAG00000031837.1)". Lineage: Eukaryota; Metazoa; Chordata; Mammalia; Rodentia; Bathyergidae. The record is from RNAcentral.